GACGAACGCUGGCGACGUGCUUAACACAUGCAAGUCGAACGGUAAGGCCCUUCGGGGUACACGAGUGGCGAACGGGCGAGUAACACGUGGGUGAUCUGCCCUGCACUUUGGGACAAGCCUGGGACACUGGGUCUAAUAACGGAUAGGACCCGGCGCUUAACGGCGUGUGGUGGUAAGCUGUUGCGGUGUGUGAUGGGCCCGCGGCCUAUCAGGUUGUUGGAGGGGUAAUGGCCUUCCAAGGCUACGACGCGUAGCCGGCCUGAAAGGGGGACCGGCCACACUGGGACUGAGCUACGGCCCUGACGCCUACGGGGGGAAGCAGUAGGGAACAUUGCACAAUGGGCGCAAGCCUGAUGCAGCGACGCCGCGUGAGGGAUGACUGCCUUCGGGUUGUAAACCUCUUACAGUAGGGACGAAGCGCAAGUGACGGUACCUGCAGAAGAAGGACCGGCCAACUACGUGCCAGCAGCCGCGGUAA
RNAcentral lists this ribosomal RNA (478 nucleotides) under uncultured bacterium. RNAcentral's name for it is "partial 16S ribosomal RNA". It matches the Rfam family "Bacterial small subunit ribosomal RNA", at positions 28 to 523 of the family's 1533-position model. The record is from RNAcentral.